This 301-nucleotide ribosomal RNA is filed under the name uncultured bacterium. RNAcentral describes it as "partial 16S ribosomal RNA". It matches the Rfam family "Bacterial small subunit ribosomal RNA", at positions 509 to 807 of the family's 1533-position model. The record is from RNAcentral.
CAGCCGCCACGGUAAUACAGAGGGUGCGAGCGUUAAUCGGAUUUACUGGGCGUAAAGCGUGCGUAGGCGGCUAAUUGAGUCGGAUGUGAAAUCCCCGAGCUUAACUUGGGAAUUGCAUUCGAUACUGGUUAGCUAGAGUGUGGGAGAGGAUGGUAGAAUUCCAGGUGUAGCGGUGAAAUGCGUAGAGAUCUGGAGGAAUACCGAUGGCGAAGGCAGCCAUCUGGCCUAACACUGACGCUGAGGUACGAAAGCAUGGGGAGCAAACAGGAUUAGAUACCCGAGUAGUCCCUGUCUCUUAUAC